GCCAGACUCCUACGGGAGGCAGCAGUGGGGAAUAUUGGGCAAUGGGCGCAAGCCUGACCCAGCGACGCCGCGUGAGGGAAGACGGUCUUCGGAUUGUAAACCUCUUUCAGCAGGGAAGACAAAAGGACGGUACCUGCAGAAGAAGCCACGGCUAACUACGUGCCAGCAGCCGCGGUAAUACGUAGGUGGCAAGCGUUAUCCGGAUUUACUGGGUGUAAAGGGCGUGUAGGCGGGACUGCAAGUCAGAUGUGAAAAUUAUGGGCUCAACCCAUAACCUGCAUUUGAAACUGUAGUUCUUGAGUGAUGGAGAGGCAGGCGGAAUUCCGUGUGUAGCGGUGAAAUGCGUAGAUAUACGGAGGAACACCAGUGGCGAAGGCGGCCUGCUGGACAUUAACUGACGCUGAGGCGCGAAAGCGUGGGGAGCAAACAGGAUUAGAUACCCGGGUAU
This 448-nucleotide ribosomal RNA is filed under the name uncultured bacterium. RNAcentral describes it as "bacterial SSU rRNA". It matches the Rfam family "Bacterial small subunit ribosomal RNA", at positions 330 to 793 of the family's 1533-position model. The record is from RNAcentral.